Molecule: non-coding RNA, 429 nt
Organism: Chlorocebus sabaeus (green monkey)
Lineage: Eukaryota; Metazoa; Chordata; Mammalia; Primates; Cercopithecidae
Source: RefSeq, a predicted model, not a curated record
GAGAGCAGAGUCCAGCCCCCGAAUUCUCAGGUGUUUUCAUUCGGUGAUCAGCACCAAACACAGAAGACUCACCAUGGAGUUUGUGCUGAGCUGGGUUUUCCUUGUUGCUAUUUUAAAAGGUGUCCAGUGUGAGGUGCAGCUGGUGGAGUCUGGGGGAGGCUUGGUCCAGCCUGGGGGGUCCCUGAGACUCUCCUGUGCAGCCUCUGGAUUCACCUUCAGUGACCACUACAUGGACUGGGUCCGCCAGGCUCCAGGGAAGGGCCUGGAGUGGGUUGGCCGUAUUAGAAACAAAGCUAACAGUCACACGACAGAAUACGCCGCGUCUGUGAAAGGCAGAUUCACCAUCUCAAGGGAUGAUUCAAAGAACACACUGUACCUGCAAAUGAGCGGCCUGAAAACCGAGGACACGGCCGUGUAUUACUGUGCUAG